Molecule: ribosomal RNA, 447 nt
Filed under: uncultured bacterium
Lineage: Bacteria
Description: partial 16S ribosomal RNA
Rfam family: Bacterial small subunit ribosomal RNA
Source: RNAcentral
AACGAACGCUGGCGGCAUGCCUAACACAUGCAAGUCGAACGCUCCGCAAGGGGAGUGGCGCACGGGUGAGUAACACGUGGGAACCUGCCUAUCGGUUCGGAACAACGUUUGGAAACGAACGCUAAUACCGGAUAUUCCCUCAGGGGGAAAGAUUUAUCGCCGAUAGAGGGGCCCGCGUCCGAUUAGGUAGUUGGUGGGGUAAUGGCCUACCAAGCCGACGAUCGGUAGCUGGUCUGAGAGGAUGAUCAGCCACACUGGGACUGAGACACGGCCCAGACUCCUACGGGAGGCAGCAGUGGGGAAUAUUGGACAAUGGGCGCAAGCCUGAUCCAGCAAUGCCGCGUGAGUGAUGAAGGCCUUAGGGUUGUAAAGCUCUUUCGCACGUGACGAUGAUGACGGUAACGUGAGAAGAAGCCCCGGCUAACUUCGUGCCAGCCGCCGCCGUAA